AGAGCGAACGCUGGCGGCAGGCCUAACACAUGCAAGUCGAACGAACUCUUCGGAGUUAGUGGCGGACGGGUGAGUAACACGUGGGAACGUGCCUUUAGGUUCGGAAUAACUCAGGGAAACUUGUGCUAAUACCGAAUGUGCCCUUCGGGGGAAAGAUUUAUCGCCUUUAGAGCGGCCCGCGUCUGAUUAGCUUGUUGGUGGGGUAAUGGCCCACCAAGGCUACGAUCAGUAGCUGGUCUGAGAGGAUGACCAGCCACAUUGGGACUGAGACACCGGCCCAAAACU
Molecule: ribosomal RNA, 285 nt
Filed under: uncultured soil bacterium
Lineage: Bacteria
Description: partial 16S ribosomal RNA
Rfam family: Bacterial small subunit ribosomal RNA
Source: RNAcentral